CAGCAGCCGCGGUAAUACGAAGGGGGCUAGCGUUGCUCGGAAUGACUGGGCGUAAAGCGUGCGCAGGCGGUUCGUUAAGACAGAUGUGAAAUCCCCGGGCUUAACCUGGGAACUGCAUUUGUGACUGACGGGCUAGAGUAUGGCAGAGGGGGGUAGAAUUCCACGUGUAGCAGUGAAAUGCGUAGAGAUGUGGAGGAAUACCGAUGGCGAAGGCAGCCCCCUGGGCCAAUACUGACGCUCAUGCACGAAAGCGUGGGGAGCAAACAGGAUUAGAUACCCGCGUAGUCCCUGUCUCUUAUAC
This 301-nucleotide ribosomal RNA is filed under the name uncultured bacterium. RNAcentral's name for it is "partial 16S ribosomal RNA". It matches the Rfam family "Bacterial small subunit ribosomal RNA", at positions 509 to 807 of the family's 1533-position model. The record is from RNAcentral.